UAAAUAAAUUAUAAAUCAACACUAAAAUAGUAAAUUUAUUAUUGAAACUUAAGUAAUUUGGCGGUAUUUUAGUUCAUUUAGAGGAAUCUGUUUAAUAAUUGAUAAUCCACGAAUAAAUUUACUUAAUUUAAAAUUUUAUAUAUCGUUGUUAAAAAAAUAUUUUAUAAAAAUAAUAAUAUUUAAAAAUUAAAAGUAAAAUUAGUUCAGAUCAAGAUGUAGAUUAUAAUUAAGAAUAUAAUGGAUUACAAUAAUAAUAAUUAGAUGAAUAUAAUUUUGGAAUAAAUUAUUGAAGGUGGAUUUAAAUGUAAUUUUAUUUAGUUUAUUAGAAUGAUUAUAAAUUAAGAUAUGUACAUAUUGCCCGUCACUUUCAUUUAAAAAUUGGAAUAAGUCGUAACAAAGUAGAGGUACUGGAAAGUGUUUCUAGAAAGA
Molecule: ribosomal RNA, 429 nt
Filed under: Dismorphia zaela
Lineage: Eukaryota; Metazoa; Arthropoda; Insecta; Lepidoptera; Pieridae
Description: partial 12S ribosomal RNA
Source: RNAcentral